AUCACAAUUAAUCCUCACUUAACAUCACAUUAAUCUCAAUUAAUUAACCAUAUUCAGGAUUUUAACAUGUAAUUGAAAUUGAAAAAGGGGCUAGGGUUACGUGUGAGGAACUCGGCUUCUUCCUCUCUCUCGACUCAGACGGCGGCUUCAUCGUCUUCACCGGCGAGGAUUCUUCAAUCACCACCGGCAAACAAACACGUUCGAAACUCGUCUCUCAUCUCUCUCGACUCAGACGACUGCGAUUACCUCUCACUCUUCGACGGCGGCUCUCUCAGCAAGCUCUCUUUUCCCGUCUCGAUCUCUUAAGCCUUUGCUCUCAAUCUCUUUCGCCUUCUCCGAUUCAAAAAUAACCUCAGCGCAAGAACGAAUAAUGGAUGCUUACCGACCGGAGUUACGUCUUGGACGGCGUUGAUUCGAAAUCCAGCGAAGAUGCUUCAACUUUCAGAGAUGAACGUGAACUGUAGCUUGAGGCUUCUAUGUGAAGAAGAUUAUUGAUGAUGAUUUUCGAUGAAGCUAGAGUGCGAUGAAGAUUGAAAAGGUUCUAGAGAGAAGAUCCAGAAAGAAAGUAGAGGGAGAAAGAUAUUAAAGAUAUGUUGAGGAUGAUGAAGAGAAGAGUGGUGAAGAGUGUUGAGAUGAAUUGGUGGUUAUGCGGUGAGUUCUCAGAAUUCUGUUGCAUUUUUUGUUAUCUCCUCCCAAUUCUGUUAUCUGUGAAUCUGCUUACCCAUUUGGUCACGAAGCAGCUAGUGGUUUUUGUUGUUUUGGAUGGCUGCCGGGUAUGAACCGAGGCGGUUCGGUUUUCAUGGAGCUGCGGAGUGGUUUUGUUUACUGUCAAUUAACUUGGACCAGUGUAUACCGUCAAUUAACUUGGACAAGUUAGAAGUAUUGCUGAACCGGUUUAUUCUUUCUUCUUGAAGUGUGCAGAAUUUUCUCCUUGAGCCGAUGCCCCUUUUUUUGUGUCGAUUCGGUUUAUUUGCUGUGCAGGUUUGCAAGGCUAGCUUGAACAAAAAUUGGAAUAUCCUUUAUUGCGCUUUACCUUGAGUAUACGCUCAUGAAGAUGAGAAACUUGGCUCAUGAAGAACUUGAAGAUGAAGUUUAAGCAUAUUCUUAGAAUUUUUCAUGGACUUUUGCGAUGCAUCUUGUAUGAAUGACUUUCUUGUAUUUUUCGGGUUCUAUUGUAAUGAAAGUUCUUUGUAACAAAUUAUGUUUCUAAACGAUGAGCUUGGAACAAACUUGUAUUUCGAACACUUUGUAUUUUUGAA
This is a long non-coding RNA of Vicia villosa (hairy vetch), 1259 nucleotides long. RefSeq lists it as uncharacterized. The record is from RefSeq and is a predicted model, not a curated record. The transcript has 3 exons. Lineage: Eukaryota; Viridiplantae; Streptophyta; Magnoliopsida; Fabales; Fabaceae.